RNAcentral lists this non-coding RNA (23 nucleotides) under Cricetulus griseus (Chinese hamster). The record is from RNAcentral. Lineage: Eukaryota; Metazoa; Chordata; Mammalia; Rodentia; Cricetidae.
AAUGUUCAGAUGUUGGUCUUGGU